This 490-nucleotide ribosomal RNA is filed under the name uncultured bacterium. Its description in RNAcentral is "partial 16S ribosomal RNA". It matches the Rfam family "Bacterial small subunit ribosomal RNA", at positions 28 to 507 of the family's 1533-position model. The record is from RNAcentral.
GAUGAACGCUAGCUACAGGCUUAACACAUGCAAGUCGAGGGGAAACGAUGAGAGAGCUUGCUCUCUUAGGCGUCGACCGGCGCACGGGUGAGUAACGCGUAUCCAACCUACCCAUUACAGGGGGAUAACCUUGCGAACGUAAGACUAAUACCCCAUGGCAUUUUAUGGUGGCAUCAUUAUAGGAUUAAAGAUUUAUUGGUAAUGGAUGGGGAUGCGUCUGAUUAGCUUGUUGGCGGGGUAACGGCCCACCAAGGCAACGAUCAGGAGGGGUUCUGAGAGGAAGGUCCCCCACAUUGGAACUGAGGCACGGUCCACACUCCUACGGGAGGCAGCAGUAAGGAAUAUUGGGCAAUGGGCGAGGGCUUGAACCAGCCAAGUAGCGUGCAGGAUGACGGCCCUAUGGGUUGUAAACUGCUUUUAUAGAAGAAUAAAGUGAGCUACGUGUAGUUUAUUGCAUGUACCCUAUGAAUAAGGACCGGCUAAUUCCGUG